This 619-nucleotide ribosomal RNA is filed under the name Pantoea dispersa. RNAcentral describes it as "bacterial SSU rRNA". It matches the Rfam family "Bacterial small subunit ribosomal RNA", at positions 546 to 1164 of the family's 1533-position model. The record is from RNAcentral. Lineage: Bacteria; Pseudomonadati; Pseudomonadota; Gammaproteobacteria; Enterobacterales; Erwiniaceae.
CGGGAUUACUGGGGCGUAAGCGCACGCAGGCGGUCUGUUAAGUCAGAUGUGAAAUCCCCGGGCUUAACCUGGGAACUGCAUUUGAAACUGGCAGGCUUGAGUCUCGUAGAGGGGGGUAGAAUUCCAGGUGUAGCGGUGAAAUGCGUAGAGAUCUGGAGGAAUACCGGUGGCGAAGGCGGCCCCCUGGACGAAGACUGACGCUCAGGUGCGAAAGCGUGGGGAGCAAACAGGAUUAGAUACCCUGGUAGUCCACGCCGUAAACGAUGUCGACUUGGAGGUUGUGCCCUUGAGGCGUGGCUUCCGGAGCUAACGCGUUAAGUCGACCGCCUGGGGAGUACGGCCGCAAGGUUAAAACUCAAAUGAAUUGACGGGGGCCCGCACAAGCGGUGGAGCAUGUGGUUUAAUUCGAUGCAACGCGAAGAACCUUACCUGGCCUUGACAUCCAGAGAACUUAGCAGAGAUGCUUUGGUGCCUUCGGGAACUCUGAGACAGGUGCUGCAUGGCUGUCGUCAGCUCGUGUUGUGAAAUGUUGGGUUAAGUCCCGCAACGAGCGCAACCCUUAUCCUUUGUUGCCAGCGGCUCGGCCGGGGAACUCAAAGGAGACUGCCGGUGAUAAACC